Molecule: long non-coding RNA, 1512 nt
Filed under: Ficedula albicollis (Collared flycatcher)
Lineage: Eukaryota; Metazoa; Chordata; Aves; Passeriformes; Muscicapidae
Description: lncRNA (ENSFALG00000024647.1)
Source: RNAcentral
AUGUGCCCACACCACACUCAGACUCUGCCCAUUGCUUUGGAGACCCCUCCAGUUCUUGGCUGUCUACUUUUAUCUUUAAUCAGAAGUUUUCAGUGGCAGUUCUUUCUUCAUGUAUCUGUGCAUGGCAUUAAAAGAGGCUGCAGAGUACGGAGCCAGAGCUGUAAAGGAGCUAAAUCAGACUUACUGAGACGACAGGAACAGAGCAUGGCCUGCCCAGGAGGCAGCAGCCAGGAGGCAGCAGCCAGGAGCGUUGCCAGCCCGAUGGGUUCUGUAGCUGCCACUGCUGGAGCGCCGCGGUUGGAGGCGCGGGAUGCCGCCUGCUCGGAUCAGCUGCACAAAGGGGGGCACGGCAGCCCCGGCUCCCCGGGCACUCACGGCCCUCCUGGCUGAGGAUGUGACAUCCCUGCCUCCCCAGCUCAGGACCCCUUCCUGUCAAGUCACUGAUGCAGCAUUGAAACCUCCCUGUUAGUUUAAGGUGGUUUCUGUUGAAGGUACCAGACUGGGAGCAGCUGAGCUCCAGGGGCAGUGUGCGUUGGGUUCUGCUGAUCCUGCAAGAGGGAAAACUCAGUAAUGGAACCUCCAGUGGCUGAGGUACCCAUGGAAAUGCUGACCACACUACACGGUCAUGUCUCAAACCCUGUGAGACUCCAGAGGCAUCUUUUCACCAAGGCCAAGGACAUGUCUUACAUCAUCCACAUCUCUCCCACACAGACAUGGACAUUUUCAGCUCCCAAACCACACAGGACACACGGUUUGAAUGCUCCAAGACAACGUUCUUCAAGCUUGCCACAUCUGUAAGAACAGGAUGGCUCACUGCUUUGUAGGUGCCCUGGAAAAACCUUUAAUCAGAGCAAAUAUUGGAGAAACUAUAAUGAAAGAACACCCAUGCACAUACAGACAGCAGAAACCACUAAGAAAAUCCUGAUUUUCUCCUCCUGCACUGCGGAUCAGCUCCAGGAGGCAUUCUGCUGUGAAAUGUGACUGGGAUCUGUCAUCCCCUUGCAACGAUUUUGAGUGAGGUUUUCUCAAGGAGUGCCCAGUCGGAUCAGCUGCACAAAGGGGGGCACAGCAGCCCCGGCUCCCCGGGGACUCACGGCCCUCCUGGCUGAGGAUGUGACAUCCCUGCCUCCCCAGCUCAGGACCCCUUCCUGUCAAGUCACUGAUGCAGCAUUGAAACCUCCCUGUUAGUUUAAGGUGGUUUCUGUUGAAGGUACCAGACUGGGAGCAGCUGAGCUCCAGGGGCAGUGUGCGUUGGGUUCUGCUGAUCCUGCAAGAGGGAAAACUCAGUAAUGGAACCUCCAGUGGCUGAGGUACCCAUGGAAAUGCUGACCACACUACACGGUCAUGUCUCAAACCCUGUGAGACUCCAGAGGCAUCUUUUCACCAAGGCCAAGGACAUGUCUUACAUCAUCCACAUCUCUCCCACACAGACAUGGACAUUUUCAGCUCCCAAACCACACAGGACACACGGUUUGAAUGCUCCAAGACAACGUUCUUCAAGCUUGCCACAUC